UCUUUUGGGAAAUGGAUUCUUUGAGAUUGAGUACUUAAGUUAAUUUAAUAUGUCUUCCUUUAAUGUUACUGUGUCAGAAUGUGACACCCGAUCCAAUAAUAUCAUGUCGGAACGUGACAUCCGAUCCAAUAAUAUCGUGCCGGCUAGUGGCACCCGAUCUAACAAUAUAGUUAAUUCAUCAUUCUUUCCACUUAACAAUAUUUCAUUACACCUUCUUUAUUCAAGACAUCACCGUGAUAGAACAAAUUCAAGAUUAUGGAUUUCACGGUCUUGGGAUUACACACCAAUCACAACAACACAUGAAUCAUCCAAGCCACAACAAUGAAGUACACAGAAAAUUUCACAGAAUUACUCAAUGACUAUCAAUCACUAUUAAGAGUCUCUCUAUCAGAUAGAAUAAAUCAUAACUUACCUCCAGCGAAGAAUCGAAAUCAAGCAAGCUAAUUCCCUAAUGCUUUUCCUUACCUCCAGCGAAGAAUCGAAAUCAAGCAAGC
RNAcentral lists this long non-coding RNA (494 nucleotides) under Solanum tuberosum (potato). RNAcentral's name for it is "long non-coding RNA (STUB_LNC010515)". The record is from RNAcentral. Lineage: Eukaryota; Viridiplantae; Streptophyta; Magnoliopsida; Solanales; Solanaceae.